This 495-nucleotide ribosomal RNA is filed under the name uncultured bacterium. Its description in RNAcentral is "partial 16S ribosomal RNA". It matches the Rfam family "Bacterial small subunit ribosomal RNA", at positions 28 to 507 of the family's 1533-position model. The record is from RNAcentral.
GACGAACGCUGGCGGCGUGCCUAAUACAUGCAAGUAGAACGCUGAAGGAGGAGCUUGCUCUUCUGGAUGAGUUGCGAACGGGUGAGUAACGCGUAGGUAACCUGCCUGGUAGUGGGGGAUAACUAUUGGAAACGAUAGCUAAUACCGCACAAUAACAGUUGUUGCAUGACAACUGUUUGAAAGGUGCAAUUGCAUCACUUCCAGAUGGACCUGCGUUGUAUUAGCUAGUUGGUGGGGUAACGGCUCACCAAGGCGACGAUACAUAGCCGACCUGAGAGGGUGAUCGGCCACACUGGGACUGAGACACGGCCCAGACUCCUACGGGAGGCAGCAGUAGGGAAUCUUCGGCAAUGGACGAAAGUCUGACCGAGCAACGCCGCGGGAGUGAAGAAGGUUUUCGGAUCGUAAAGCUCUGUUGUAAGAGAAGAACGAGUGUGAGAGUGGAAAGUUCACACUGUGACGGUAUCUUACCAGAAAGGGACGGCUAACUACGUG